UAGGUGUUGCUCUUCUGUUAUAGGUAUGAGCGUAAAGGAGCUGACUACAUAAACAAAUUGCCAAAAGACAAACAUAGCACCAAAGGAUUGGGCAUGACUGAACCAGAUCCAAAAGCCAGUGUGUUACGAGAUGAUGGGGUGGAAGUCCCAGCUGGUAAAGGAAUUUCAGUCCGUCGUAAUGAUGUGUCACUGUUGUACAAUGAGUACAUCGUAUAUGAUGUGUCACAGGUGAAUAUCCAGUACUUACUCAAAAUGAAGUUCAAUUAUAAAUACUAAUUUCAGGAUCUGCCUUGCUUGUUUUUCUAAGAACAGUUAAAAGUGUAAAUUUUCACUGUAUGUGAAUGAUAGCGUUACACUCUCUUUUUCAUGUUGCUCACCAUUUGUGCAUUUGUUAAGCUAAGAAAGUAAAUUUCUGCUUUAUGAAGAUGUCUUUCAGUUUUGCUGUACUGCUUAAUGAUACAAGAAAUGACAGCAGAAAAUAAUGAAUGCAGUUUCCAGAACAACCCUUCACUAUGAUGGAUCUGAAUAAUUUUAAUAAUAUCACAGUAAAUGGUGGUAUUCAACAGCAAAUAAAAGUUUCUCAUAUAUUAUUAUCCUGUUGUGAAAUGUCAUGGGUUUUAUAGUAAAGGUUCUUCCAGAUCCUGUUUAUACAUUACCAGAUAGUUAGUUUCCUCACAUGGCCAAGAUACUCCAAUUUUACUUGUGUUGUAAGUCUGUGUGAAGUCAUCUUUGUUAUUUUCACAUCUAUUAAGAAAAAUUACAUCAACUGUUAUCAAACUACGCAUUACCAUGUGCAAGAUAUGAGACUUCUAGUGGAAUAUGUGCAUUCCUUUAAAUCCUUAUGUCAGAUGUCAUUUAAUUUAUUUUAUAUUUGAACAGUGAAGUAUGUAAAAGCCUUCAAUAAAAAAAGUUUUCAUGUUGUUGAAAUUAA
Non-coding RNA from Zootermopsis nevadensis, 931 nucleotides. The record is from RefSeq and is a predicted model, not a curated record. NCBI's taxonomy places the organism in Eukaryota, Metazoa, Arthropoda, Insecta, Blattodea, Termopsidae.